Oncorhynchus keta (chum salmon) is the source of this 4287-nucleotide long non-coding RNA. RefSeq lists it as uncharacterized. The record is from RefSeq and is a predicted model, not a curated record. The transcript has 8 exons. NCBI's taxonomy places the organism in Eukaryota, Metazoa, Chordata, Actinopteri, Salmoniformes, Salmonidae.
CUAAGCAUUGUGGGAUUUGCAGUUCUUCGAGCAGGUAGCUGUGGAAAUUAAGUGACACCAUCCAACCGACUAAACUCUACUCGCUCACAGCGGCUUCCUGAAGCAGGCACAACACAUGAGAGAAAGAGUGCAAGCUACUAAAUUUUGUCAAGAUUACCCAUCUCUUAGGACUGCGUGGAAAGUCUCCUGAACCAACUAAUAGCUCUUCAUGGUGCUAUUCUGGAUGUCUUCUCUCGGACUGGCCCAGUUCGAUUCCACUCCUGGAAGUUCUCAGAUUACUACUCCUGCUGCAAAGUUUCAGUGCAUAUGCAGAGCAGUUGAAGUUUGGACAGAAAGAAAACAUGAAGAAAACAGCUCCAUGUGUAUCAAUUGGCCUUGUAGUUGGACACUAUUGGAAUAACUUUAUCCAGAUUGGCAACCAGAAGUAUGAAGCAAGAUAUUCAAGAAUUGAUCAAAACUCCAAAGUGUGAGGAAAACACCACUUUCUCUUUAGCAUCCUCACUCCUGACCACAAAAAGAGAUAUUUGUCCACAGUCUCCAUCCGUAGUGUCUCAGCACUGUACUUCAAGAACAACAGCAAGCACUCCAUUCCUCCACAGACAAUAGCAAAUGGCGGCCCCUCCUGUCCUACUCGCAGAACAGAAAGCAUCAUCCCCUCCUGCCUUUCCCCUAUAUCCACAGACACUCAUAAUGUAAGUUGCCAGACAGUCCUCCCUUGUCCCCUGUGAUGCCUGUGCUCAGGUCCAGUCCAGCCUGAGGGAGACUGGUGAUGCUCUUGUGGAGCUGUGUCGGAGCGAGGGCCUUCCCACCUCUCUGCAGCGCCUCCUGGUGGCUGUGGAUGACACUAUGUAGCAGGGCCGUCUGGCUGUAGGAGAUGUGUCCCAGUGGUCCACAGAACAGCACAGGGACAUGGGUCAGGUGGGAAAGCAUCUGCUGAAGGUGCAGGGCUCAGCUGGGGGAGGGAACAGGAGGAACUAAAGCGUGAAUGGGCAAAGGACCAAGCAAUACUUUAGGAGGCCCAGGCAUCCAGGAAGGAGACAGAGAGGAGACUGCAGGACGAACAUGAGGAGCUGAGGCUCCAUGUCCCUGGACAAUAGCAACUCCAAACUGAAGGCAGAGAUUAGUUUGCAACAAAAAAGGUUACAAACUCGAGUGUGAGAGAGAUAAGCUACAUCAGGAAGUGAAGGCCUUGCAGGUGGAGGAAGAGGCACAGAAUAAACAAGAGGAGAAGACACAAACACUGGAGGCUCAACUGUCCAGUACUCGGCUCUUACUUGACAAAGAGAACUCCAAGUACCAGAAUGCAUGUCACCAACAGGAGUCACUGCAGGCCAAGCAGAUGUCUCUAUUGGAGAGAGUGGAUGCUCUGGACCAGGAGUGUGAGAAGCUUCAAGGACAGUUGGGGGAGACUGAGGACACACAGACAGGCUUACAGGAUAGACUGACACACAUCUCAGAGGAGAAGGACCAACUUAAAACCCAGCUCACCCAAUAACAAGUACAUUACUACCAGACAGAUGUGACUCAACACAAUAUUAAGCACAAUGAAAUGUUCCACGUUAUAGUUCUGCUUGCAUACGUUGGGCAGAGCCAUACUUCAGCAUAGCAGAUACAGUAUAUAAAUAUGAUCCCAUUUCAUUUUCAAAGAACAAUAAUGUGUAUGUAAUUAAUGGCCUUGCCUCUGCAGUCCCUGAGGCCUUGUGUUCUGAGCUGCAGCAGGAGAAGCAGAGAUUGGAGAGUCAUGUGAACAAGCCGAAAGACAGUUUGGAUCAGCUGAGAGGAGAGGUGCAGGAGUUAGCACAGAGGGAGAGGCUGCUGGUGGCAUUCCCAGAGCUCAACCCACUGCCUCAGGGACCGCCACAGAGUAGGAUCACUUCCCUAAAUAACUCAGAGCAUUUUCUGUAUGUUAACCACAAUGUUGACUUUACUUGUACAACCUGUAUUGUUUGUAUUGUAUUGUUUGUUCAUGUGGGUUUACUUGCAUAUGGUUUCAAAUAUAAAUACCAGUAUUACAAGCAUAGACCGAGUUACAACUCCAGUGCAUUUGGAAAGUAUUCAGUCCCCUUGAAUUUUUCCACAUUUUGUUACUUUACAGCCUUAUUCUAAAAAGUAUUAAAGAAAACAUUUUCCUCAGCAAUCUACACACAAUACCCCAUAAUGACAAAGCGAAAACAGGCUUUUUGAAAUUUUUGCAAAUGUAUUAAAAAUAAGAAACUCAGAAUUGAGCUCAGGUGCAUCCUGUUUCCAUUGAUCUUCCUUGAGAUGUUUUUAAAACUUGAUUGGAGUCCACUUGUGGUAAAUUCAAUUGAUUGGACAUGAUUUGGAAAGGCACACACCUUUCUAUAUAAGGUCCCACAGUUGACAGUGAAUGUCAGAGCAAAAACCAAGCCAUAAGGUCGAGGAAUUGUCCGUAGAGCUCAUAGAAAGGAUUGUGUCGAGGCACAGACCUGGGGAAGGGUACUAAAAAUAUUAUGCAGUAUUGAAGCUCCCCCAAAACACACUGGCCUCCAUUAUUCUUAAAUUGUUUUUAUCCCUUUCUCUCCCCAAUUUCGUGGUAUCCAAUUAUUAGUUACAGUCUUGUCUCAUCGCUGCAACUCCGGUAAGGCCUCGGGAGAGGCGAAGGUCGAGAGCCGUGCGUCCUCCGAAACACCACCCACCCAAACCGCACUGCUUCUUGACACAAUCCGGGGAUAAUACUUCAAAACUGCUGCUGGAGAACUACAGAUAUAACCUCUCUCAGCAGCUUUGGAUUCUCCCAGUCUGCCUGACGCUCCCAGAGAGAGACAGCUAAAUCCCACCCCCUACGUACAACACAGCCCUCUACAGACCUCCAGUGCAGGAGUGUUGAAACAUUGAUUGCGGAGGAAGGGAGCAGACAAAGGGGAUUCCAUCCCUGUGGUGAUGGGGCCUUGGGAUCACGUCUCUGCCACUUUCUCUACAGCUCUGGUGCAUCAGCGGACUCUACGGCUCUCCCCAGACACCAGCGCAGCCAGAACCUAAGCAAAGAUACGCCAGGCGUCCCAAACAUGCUCUUUCUCCAGAGGAAGAAAUAAAUCCAGCACUGGGUGAUCAACCUCAUGUUGACCAUUUUUGGAGCAUAGUAAUGCCGAAAGAGGCUGAGGCAGAGGCUGUUAGAAGUAUAUGUCAGGCUUCUCCAUCAGGAGACUGCAGUAAGGCAUUGCAUUGUAGCUCAUACACAUAGUUGUUUGUGUAUCAGCUGAGGCAGAUGCAGAAAAGUUAUGGAGUUCAAGAUCUUGGCAACAUUGAGCUGGCUUGAAGUUGCUAUUUAACUGAAAAUGAAUUUGAUUAAUUCACAAACUGGUAUCAUGUUUUUCUUUCUUGAACUGUUGUGUUAAUCACUUUGCUACUUUGGAUUGCAAAUGUGCAUUUGUUGACUUCAUGCAUUUAGAAAAACAGUUUUACCUAGUUUAGAAUGGUAAAGCAAUAAGACAGCAUAACGAGCCUAUCAAAGCACAUUCAUUAUUUAAACUCAAAGAAUCUGGUCAUGCACAAACACACACUAAAAAUAAGUGUCUUAAAAUGAUCAGUCUAGAAAAGGGAGAGGCUAGGUAAAAGACAAGCCAUGGUGUGUGUCUGUGUGUUUAGCUAAGUGUGUGGUCUUCUAAAGGCUCUACUAUUGUGUCACCAACACAAUGCCACGAAUGCAGAUGUGUCUAAUGAUUUACAGAGUACUCUGUUGAGGGAGGGGUAAGUUCCUAUGGCAACAUUGAUGAUCAGAGCAUGACAUCUUGUGUGGGUUCCCUCCUGUCCUUACUGUCAGUCCAACCCUUCACCUAUUAAGGAGUAUACUUGAUGGUAGACCAACCAAUUCAUUGUGAAGUAUGCUUCCCAUGGCAUGUUAGGGUGCAAUAUUUUUGUCCUUUGUAUUUCCUUGCACUAGAAAUGCCAAAUUACUUUUCUGAAGGUGGGUUGUAGUCAUGGAGAUACAUGUGAAAAGCCCCGUAGAUCCAGACUGGAUAUUGACUACACCUGAAACUAUGCAAUUCAAGCCCAUAUUAUUGUUCAUGCCUGUUCAAAUGUUUCUGCAUGAGUUCAGUGGUAGCACAAUACUGGGUUUCAUUUUCAGGGAUAUACCUAGAUACUGAAGUAUUUGCGGAAUGCAGAUGUACUAAUGAAAGCAAUAAUUUCUUUGCCCACUAACUCACGAAUCCUUCUCCUCAGAGACAAACUUGCUUGAUCAAGUCUAACCUUGGACCUCAGAGUUCAGUCUUUCAGUUGAGCCAAUUAUACAGCUGUGUCAUCCCUCAAGCAUGUAAUUGAGAUGUG